GACGAACGCUGGCGGCGUGCCUAAUACAUGCAAGUCGAACGAGAGCGACCGGUGCUUGCACUGGUCAAUCUAGUGGCGAACGGGUGAGUAACACGUGGGUAACCUGCCCAUCAGAGGGGGAUAACAUCCGGAAACGGAUGCUAAAACCGCAUAGGUCUUCGAGCCGCAUGGCUUGAAGAGGAAAAGAGGCGCAAGCUUCUGCUGAUGGAUGGACCCGCGGUGCAUUAGCUAGUUGGUGAGGUAACGGCUCACCAAGGCCGUGAUGCAUAGCCGACCUGAGAGGGUGAUCGGCCACAUUGGGACUGAGACACGGCCCAAACUCCUACGGGAGGCAGCAGUAGGGAAUCUUCCGCAAUGGACGCAAGUCUGACGGAGCAACGCCGCGUGAGUGAAGAAGGUUUUCGGAUCGUAAAACUCUGUUGUUAGAGAAGAACAAGUGCUAGAGUAACUGUUAGCGCCUUGACGGUAUCUAACCAGAAAGCCACGGCUAACUACGU
RNAcentral lists this ribosomal RNA (497 nucleotides) under uncultured bacterium. Its description in RNAcentral is "partial 16S ribosomal RNA". It matches the Rfam family "Bacterial small subunit ribosomal RNA", at positions 28 to 506 of the family's 1533-position model. The record is from RNAcentral.